AGGUCAGCAUCAUUGCACAACACAUCACCAUCAUGUUGUAAUGCCUGAACACUGACAGAUUGUUCUCUGUGAUCGUCUCAGGAAACUCCUCAACUGGAGAUGACCCUUGUGGGCGUGGUCUCUCACUCUCUGCAAACUGAGAUGGCUCAUCACAUAUCUGCAUGGACAUAAGGCUCCGCUUCAAACAGAGCAGGAGAGAAACGCAGAGCUGCCUGACAUCCUCUCGAUGAUGACAUCUUCAAACACUCCCCUGCGCUCUGCAGACACACCCAGCACUCACUGCAGAUGAAGACCGAUGUGAAUGUGUCCACAAACCUCAUGUCCCUGAAGGAUAAACUCUGCUUUGUUUGCUUAUUCGCCAAGGUCCUCUGGACAGUGCGCUGAUUCAACCAUGGGCCCAAGAUGUAACGUGACCUUUCGUGUUUAAGUAGAAAUUCAUUUGAAAGGGUA
Oreochromis niloticus (Nile tilapia) is the source of this 450-nucleotide long non-coding RNA. RefSeq lists it as uncharacterized. The transcript has 4 exons. Lineage: Eukaryota; Metazoa; Chordata; Actinopteri; Cichliformes; Cichlidae. The record is from RefSeq and is a predicted model, not a curated record.